RNAcentral lists this ribosomal RNA (497 nucleotides) under uncultured bacterium. RNAcentral describes it as "partial 16S ribosomal RNA". It matches the Rfam family "Bacterial small subunit ribosomal RNA", at positions 28 to 507 of the family's 1533-position model. The record is from RNAcentral.
GAUGAACGCUGGCGGCGUGCCUAAUACAUGCAAGUCGAGCGAACGGACGAGAAGCUUGCUUCUCUGAUGUUAGCGGCGGACGGGUGAGUAACACGUGGAUAACCUACCUAUAAGACUGGGAUAACUUCGGGAAACCGUAGCUAAUACCGGAUAAUAUUUUGAACCGCAUGGUUCAAAAGUGAAAGACGGUCUUGCUGUCACUUAUAGAUGGAUCCGCGCUGCAUUAGCUAGUUGGUAAGGUAACGGCUUACCAAGGCAACGAUGCAUAGCCGACCUGAGAGGGUGAUCGGCCACACUGGAACUGAGACACGGUCGCGACUCCUACGGGAGGCAGCAGUAGGGAAUCUUCCGCAAUGGGCGAAAGCCUGACGUAGCAACGCCGCGUGAGUGAUGAAGGUCUUCGGAUCGUAAAACUCUGUUAUUAGGGAAGAACAUAUGUGUAAGUAACUGUGCACAUCUUGACGGUACCUAAUCAGAAAGCCACGGCUAACUACGUG